GCGACAGUGGCGUAGUUGGUAACGCGCGACCUUGCCAAGGUCGAGACCGCGGGUUCGAGCCCCGUCUGUCGCUCUA
This 76-nucleotide transfer RNA is filed under the name Lachnospiraceae bacterium C7. RNAcentral's name for it is "tRNA_Gly_GCC". It matches the Rfam family "tRNA". Rfam says of the family: Transfer RNA (tRNA) molecules are approximately 80 nucleotides in length. Their secondary structure includes four short double-helical elements and three loops (D, anti-codon, and T loops). Lineage: Bacteria; Bacillati; Bacillota; Clostridia; Lachnospirales; Lachnospiraceae. The record is from RNAcentral.